RNAcentral lists this transfer RNA (67 nucleotides) under Electrogena lateralis. RNAcentral's name for it is "tRNA-Asp". The record is from RNAcentral. Lineage: Eukaryota; Metazoa; Arthropoda; Insecta; Ephemeroptera; Heptageniidae.
AAGAGAUUAGUUAAAUUAACUUUAGUAUGUCACACUAAAAUUGUUGGUCUAAAUCCAGCAUCUCUUG